UGCCCAAUCAGCGUUGAGCUUGACCCGACGUCACUGGCAGAGAGACGGAGAGGACAGAACAGAAAUGGAGGACCAAAACCUGAUAGUAGCAGUGUGCAGCCGUCCUGUCCUGUACGACACAACGAUGGUGUCGUACAGGGACAGGAACAAAAAAGAGAGGGCGUGGGUCGACGUGGCCGAGGAUACUGGCUUUCCUGACCAGCCCAGCAGUGAGUCAGACCCAGAGGACGCUGAUGCUGCUCCUGCUCCUGCUCCUGCUCCUGCUCCUGCUCCUGCUCCUGCCCCUGUCCCUGUCCCUGCCGCUGGCCCUUCCUGUGUACCUGUCCCUGAGGCUGGCCCUGCCCCAAGACCACAGAGCGGGACGAAGAGGAAGAGAGCCAGGGUACCAGAGGGGAACACAAAUAUGCAGGGAGCCAUCCUCCAGGCCCUGCAGAGGCAAAAUGCUGUGCCUACCCCUACCCCGCUCUCUGGGAAUGAGCACUUUGUCAUGGGCCUAGUUCCUUCCCUGGAGAGAUUGCCACCUGAAGCACUGGAGUACGUUAAAUUCAAAAUUCGUAAGGUCAUAUUUGACAAUUUCACCCUUAAUUUGGAACCUUUUUAAGCCUAUUAGCUAGUGGUGGUGACAAUCUCUCCAGGGAAAGAACUAGGCUGAUGUCACUGUGCUACUGUUAACUGUUAAUUUGUUAUUGUUCUGUUAUGUUUAUAUCAUAUUGUUCUUAUGUUAUUUUUAUUAUUUUUAUUUUUAUUUUUUAAAUAAAAUAUUUCUCACAACUCUUCUC
Molecule: long non-coding RNA, 779 nt
Organism: Gadus morhua (Atlantic cod)
Lineage: Eukaryota; Metazoa; Chordata; Actinopteri; Gadiformes; Gadidae
Source: Ensembl